Molecule: long non-coding RNA, 206 nt
Organism: Dermochelys coriacea (leatherback sea turtle)
Lineage: Eukaryota; Metazoa; Chordata; Testudines; Dermochelyidae
Exons: 2
Source: RefSeq, a predicted model, not a curated record
GACGUGGCCAAAGGAUAAUCAGAGAAAAUGACACUGGAAUCAUACGUGUCUUGGGAAGAAACAAGAAACCAAGGUGCCUUGUGAUAUGCACACGCAUAUUCUACAUAUUUGGGAUAUAUCCUUUGACAACCAGAAGAUCUAAUGGCUGAUAAACGAGUGACCUAUGCAAGUUCGGCGGCUUGUCCUGAACAAUUGAACGGUUUGGA